This 431-nucleotide ribosomal RNA is filed under the name uncultured bacterium. Its description in RNAcentral is "partial 16S ribosomal RNA". It matches the Rfam family "Bacterial small subunit ribosomal RNA", at positions 29 to 507 of the family's 1533-position model. The record is from RNAcentral.
AACGAACGCUGGCGGCAGGCUUAACACAUGCAAGUCGAGCGCCCCGCAAGGGGAGCGGCCGACGGGUGAGUAACGCGUGGGAACGUACCCUUAUCUUCGGGAUAGCGCCGGGAAACUGGAAUUAAUACCGAAUGUGCCCUUUGGGGGAAAGAUUUAUCGGGUAAGGAUCGGCCCGCGUUGGAUUAGCUAGUUGGUGGGGUAAAGGCCUACCAAGGCGACGAUCCAUAGCUGGUCUGAGAGGAUGAUCAGCCACAUUGGGACUGAGACACGGCCCAAACUCCUACGGGAGGCAGCAGUGGGGAAUAUUGGACAAUGGGCGCAAGCCUGAUCCAGCCAUGCCGCGUGAGUGAUGAAGGCCUUAGGGUUGUAAAGCUCUUUCACCGGAGAAGAUAAUGACGGUAUCCGGAGAAGAAGCCCUGGCUAACUUCGUG